Molecule: unclassified non-coding RNA, 231 nt
Filed under: Hevea brasiliensis (rubber tree)
Lineage: Eukaryota; Viridiplantae; Streptophyta; Magnoliopsida; Malpighiales; Euphorbiaceae
Source: RNAcentral
AAUGUGAUGAUUUUUUUUUUGUCUGGUUUAGCGAUUUUGUUUUUGAGUGUUGAUGAAUCCGAUGCUUCGGAUCUGAAGCUUUUGUUAUGUUACCUGUGUAAAUUUUGAAUUUUCUGUUUGUUUCAUGGUGUUUUCUGGUUUUUGUGAAUCGCGAUUUAUAUUUGAUUGUAUCUACCCCAUUUUGUUUAGCGCUCAAGGCUUUUGGAUCAACAAAGCUUCAUAAUUUGUUUG